UCUUGGUGAGCAUGCAAGCU
RNAcentral lists this unclassified non-coding RNA (20 nucleotides) under Mus musculus (house mouse). RNAcentral describes it as "oocyte_clustered_small_RNA13237". The record is from RNAcentral. Lineage: Eukaryota; Metazoa; Chordata; Mammalia; Rodentia; Muridae.